UACGUAGGUGGCAAGCGUUGUCCGGAAUUAUUGGGCGUAAAGGGCGCGUAGGCGGUUCUUUAAGUCAGAUGUGAAAACCCGAGGCUCAACUUCGGGCGUGCAUUUGAAACUGGGGGACUAGAGUGCAGGAGAGGUAAGUGGAAUUCCUAGUGUAGCGGUGAAAUGCGUAGAUAUUAGGAGGAACACCAGUGGCGAAGGCGACUUACUGGACUGUAACUGACGCUGAGGCGCGAAAGCGUGGGGAGCAAACAGG
Molecule: ribosomal RNA, 253 nt
Filed under: uncultured bacterium
Lineage: Bacteria
Description: partial 16S ribosomal RNA
Rfam family: Bacterial small subunit ribosomal RNA
Source: RNAcentral